RNA transcript from Myotis myotis, 1177 nucleotides. It is a transcript of the gene named small integral membrane protein 26, with no coding region annotated. The record is from RefSeq and is a predicted model, not a curated record. Lineage: Eukaryota; Metazoa; Chordata; Mammalia; Chiroptera; Vespertilionidae. The transcript is spliced from 4 exons.
CCGAAGAAAACGUUUCUGGAGCCAUAACAGGAGCAGGAGGGGCCCGUGGUAUCAGAUGCUUAGAAAUGGCUUGAUUAAGGCUGGAAAGGACUAUGGCAGUUUAUUGCGUGUCCACUCCGGCAAGCACAUCAGUUUGCAAGUGGAAGUUUGCUCAGAGGUACUCAUUUGGCAGGUCACUUGGCAUGCAGCGUCUUGGUUCGCAGCAAGGGACCGGAACCAAAGCUCCUCGACCUGAGCCCAAUCGCCGGAGCGGCUCGCCGGACUACACGCCCCAGGAUGCAUCGGGGCCAGCUCCCCAUUGGAGGAAGCGGCGACGGUGGCGGCGCGCCGACCGGAAGACCCGCCUACGCCCCGGGUCUCGCAGAAGACUUUCCUUCCUCCGGCGCUAUGCGUCCGGACCAGGCCUCGCUUUGGUACCGGCGCAUGUCCUCCGUUUACGCUUUGGGCACCUGGACCUUGUUGGGCGCCUUGAUUUUCUCCGGCCGCAAAAAGAGCAAACCAUUAGGUGAUGAAGUAGAACAAAAAGAUGUCUCAACAUAUGAAAGCCCUGAGUCAGGUGAUGAAUUAGACCUAAGGAAGGAAAUAACUGAGCCCCCGAAAGGGUUUUAUGUGGAAACGAUUGUCACAUAUAAAGAAGAUUUUGUUCCAAUGACUGACAAGAUCCUCAACUAUUGGAAAUCAUGGACUGGUGGCCCUGGACCAGAAUCAUGAUUGACUGCUGGAUUCCGAAAACCAGGACUUUGUUUCAGCAUGUAAAUGUGAUGAUGCCUUGAUUUCAAUUUUACGUUUUUGAAAAGACCAGAACAGGUAUGGAUUAAAUCCCAACUGUGACUACCAAUAUUCUAGACACGGCGUACAAAGUUGGGACAACGUGGUUCCUGUCCGAGAGUGCCGCACUGGUCUCUUGAUUGCAAGUAACAAGUGGGCUUAACUCAAGGGGUAUUUAUCAAAAAUUGUGUUUGGAUACCUCAGAAUUAAAGCAAAUUACGUUGUAGGCCUUGAAGUCCUGGCACCAUGAACUGGAAUGCAGCCAGCCACUCAUUGAACCUGCCUGCCUCUGGCUAAAAUAAAUUCUAAUAAAUUCUUUUUGUUCUGAUUUAGAGAGAGGAAGGGAGAGAAAGAGAAGAAAACAUUGAUUUGUUGUUCCACAUUUUUAAAGGAAAUAUAUUUUGAUGAU